UAUAAAAGCAUUCAAAGCUGCUGCAGGUUAAGUUUUGAUGCAUGAAUUUUAGCCUUGAGUUGACAAUUGUCGUGUCCACUCUGAUAAAAAUGUUUCCAGUGUCAUGAGAAUAGAAAUGGUGUUUAACAUCAUGUGACUAAGCCCAAAGAGACGGCAGACAUUAAAGUUGACCAAUCAGCAGAUCACAGUUAUCCCACAUCAUGUUAGUCUGUAUCCUGUAUAUCAAAAUCUUAUUUUCAUACUUGCUUUCAUUCUUUCUUUUUAUAGGCUUUGAUGAUUUUAUAUUUUUUUUGUUGUCAUUUUUUUUGUCCUUUUCCCAAUUUUUCCAGUUGAUGUUCAUAUUUGGAUUUCCCUCUUUAGUGUUUUUUAUUGUGGUAUUUGUUCAACCGAUGCUGUUCUGUAUACCACAUUUAUCUCUUCCGCAAGCAAGAUUUAAAUGUCUUCACCACAGAUGGAUGACAAUAUUGGGGACAAUAAUAAUAACACUCCUGGAUAUCAUUCUAGUGAUUUAUGCUCAUCUAGUCAUAUUUGAUUGGGAG
This is a long non-coding RNA of Carassius auratus (goldfish), 539 nucleotides long. RefSeq lists it as uncharacterized. The record is from RefSeq and is a predicted model, not a curated record. NCBI's taxonomy places the organism in Eukaryota, Metazoa, Chordata, Actinopteri, Cypriniformes, Cyprinidae. The transcript has 3 exons.